This 1387-nucleotide ribosomal RNA is filed under the name uncultured bacterium TA08. Its description in RNAcentral is "partial 16S ribosomal RNA". It matches the Rfam family "Bacterial small subunit ribosomal RNA". The record is from RNAcentral.
CAAUACAGGGUAGAGCUAGUGGCGAACGGGUGAGUAAUACAAAAGUAAUCUACCUCGGAGUGGGGUAUAAUCCCGCGAAAGCGGGACUAAUUCCCCAUAUUCUCCUAAAACGUCGGUUUUAUGAGGAAAGGCUUCGGUCGCUCUGAGAUGAGCUUUUGGCCCAUCAGCUUGUUGGUGAGGUAACGGCCCACCAAGGCGAUGACGGGUAGGGGGUGUGAGAGCAUGUCCCCCCACAUGGGAACUGCGACACGGUCCCAACUCCUACGGGAGGCAGCAGUCUAGAAAUUUGCGCAAUGGGCGAAAGCCUGACGCAGCGACGCCGCGUGAGGGAUGGAGUCCUUCGGGAUGUAAACCUCUGUUGAGGGGGACGAUUAUGACGGUACCCCUCGAGGAAGCCUCGGCUAACUCCGUGCCAGCAGCCGCGGUAAUACGGAGGAGGCAAGCGUUGUCCGGAAUCACUGGGUGUAAAGGGUGUGUAGGUGGCCUGAUGGGUCAGGUGUGAAAUCUGGUUGCUUAACAACCAAACCGCAUUUGAAACUAUCGGGAUCGAGGGCAUGAGAGGAGAGUGGAACUCGCGGUGUAGCGGUAGAAUGCGUGGAUAUCGCGAGGAAUGCCGAUGGCGAAGGCAGCUCUCUGGGCCGGUCCUGACACUGAAACACGAAAGCUGGGGAGCAAACGGGAUUAGAUACCCCGGUAGUCCCAGCCCUAAACGAUGUACACUUGGCAUAUGCGAUUUCGUAUGUGCCGGAGGUAACCUGUUAAGUGUACCACCUGGGGACUACGCUCGCAAGGGUGAAACUCAAAGGAAUUGACGGGGACCCGCACAAGCGGUGGAGUAUGUGGUUUAAUUCGAGGCAACGCGAAGAACCUUACCUGGGCUUGACAUGCCGAUAGUACUGAGCCGAAAGGCAAGGGAUCCCACCUCGGUGGGAAGUCGGCACAGGUGCUGCAUGGCUGUCGUCAGCUCGUGCCGUGAGGUGUUAGGUUAAGUCCUGCAACGAGCGCAACCCCUGCCAUUAGUUGCCAUUUUGCCGCAAGGUGAAGGCACUCUAAUGGGACUGCCGCAGAUAAUGCGGAGGAAGGUGGGGAUGAUGUCAAGUCCUCAUGGCCUUUAUAUCCAGGGCUACACACGUGCUACAAUGGACGGUACAAAGGGUCGCGAACCUGUAAGGGGGAGCUAACCCCAGAAAACCGCUCUCAGUUCGGAUUGGAGUCUGCAACCCGACUCCAUGAAGUUGGAAUCGCUAGUAAUCGCGGAUCAGAACGCCGCGGUGAAUACGUUCCCGGGCCUUGUACACACCGCCCGUCACACCACGAAAGUUUGUUGUACCAGAAGUCAUUGGGUUAACCCGCAAGGGAGACAGAUGCCGAAGGUAUGGCAGGUAAU